Molecule: long non-coding RNA, 328 nt
Filed under: Cyanistes caeruleus (blue tit)
Lineage: Eukaryota; Metazoa; Chordata; Aves; Passeriformes; Paridae
Description: lncRNA (ENSCCEG00000006616.1)
Source: RNAcentral
AUGCCCGAGCUCUCAAAAUCUCCAAAUAUUAUAAUUGCUGUAGCCUGUUUACGAGCCUUCUUCAAAUAUGCUACUUGGUCAGACCAAUCACAUAAAUACAAGCCUUGCAGCUCUAUCCAAUGGUGUUAUAGCCAUGCCAAGCAAAGGAGGAUUUCCCUCGCUUCUUGGAAGAAGACCCUGAUAAUUAAUUCCCUUCGUAGCCCUUGUAUCCAUGCUUCUUCUCCACUUGAACAUUAUUAACUUUAAUUUUUUAGUCUCUUCUAUUCAAAAGCACCUAAAAUCAGGAUCAGUUUAUUGUAAUAAAAAUGUUUUUACUGCACUGCUGUCA